This 497-nucleotide ribosomal RNA is filed under the name uncultured bacterium. RNAcentral describes it as "partial 16S ribosomal RNA". It matches the Rfam family "Bacterial small subunit ribosomal RNA", at positions 28 to 507 of the family's 1533-position model. The record is from RNAcentral.
GAUGAACGCUGGCGGCGUGCCUAAUACAUGCAAGUCGAGCGAACAGACGAGGAGCUUGCUCCUCUGACGUUAGCGGCGGACGGGUGAGUAACACGUGGAUAACCUACCUAUAAGACUGGGAUAACUUCGGGAAACCGGAGCUAAUACCGGAUAAUAUAAUGAACCGCAUGGUUCAAUAGUGAAAGACGGUUUUGCUGUCACUUAUAGAUGGAUCCGCGCCGCAUUAGCUAGUUGGUAAGGUAACGGCUUACCAAGGCAACGAUGCGUAGCCGACCUGAGAGGGUGAUCGGCCACACUGGAACUGAGACACGGUCCAGACUCCUACGGGAGGCAGCAGUAGGGAAUCUUCCGCAAUGGGCGAAAGCCUGACGGAGCAACGCCGCGUGAGUGAUGAAGGUCUUCGGAUCGUAAAACUCUGUUAUUAGGAAAGAACAAAUGUGUAAGUAACUAUGCACGUCUUGACGGUACCUAAUCAGAAAGCCACGGCUAACUACGUG